AAUCAACGCUGGCGGCGUGCCUAACACAUGCAAGUCGAACGCGAAAAGGGCUUCGGCUCUGAGUAGAGUGGCGUCCGGGUGAGUAACGCGUGGGUAAUCUACCUUUGGGUGGGGAAUAACUAGUCGAAAGGCUAGCUAAUACCGCAUAACGCAGUUUUCUAUUAGGGAAUUGUUAAAGCAGUAAUGUGCCUAAAGAUGAGCCUGCGUCUGAUUAGUUUGUUGGUAGGGUAAUGGCCUACCAAGACUACUAUCAGUAGCUGGUCUGAGAGGACGGCCAGCCACAAUGGCACUGAAACACGGGCCAUACUCCUACGGGAGGCAGCAGUGGGGAAUUUUGUCGCAAUGAGCGAAAGCUUGACGCAGCAACGCCGCGUGAAGGAUGAAAUCCUUCGGGAUGUAAACUUCGCAA
Molecule: ribosomal RNA, 409 nt
Filed under: uncultured bacterium
Lineage: Bacteria
Description: bacterial SSU rRNA
Rfam family: Bacterial small subunit ribosomal RNA
Source: RNAcentral